UAGGGAAUCUUCCACAAUGGACGCAAGUCUGAUGGAGCAACGCCGCGUGAGUGAAGAAGGUUUUCGGAUCGUAAAGCUCUGUUGUUGGUGAAGAAGGAUAGAGGCAGUAACUGGUCUUUAUUUGACGGUAAUCAACCAGAAAGUCACGGCUAACUACGUGCCAGCAGCCGCGGUAAUACGUAGGUGGCAAGCGUUGUCCGGAUUUAUUGGGCGUAAAGCGAGCGCAGGCGGAAUGAUAAGUCUGAUGUGAAAGCCCACAGCUCAACCGUGGAACUGCAUCGGAAACUGUCAUUCUUGAGUGCAGAAGAGGAGAGUGGAAUUCCAUGUGUAGCGGUGGAAUGCGUAGAUAUAUGGAAGAACACCAGUGGCGAAGGCGGCUCUCUGGUCUGCAACUGACGCUGAGGCUCGAAAGCAUGGGUAGCGAACAGG
Molecule: ribosomal RNA, 429 nt
Filed under: bacterium
Lineage: Bacteria
Description: partial 16S ribosomal RNA
Rfam family: Bacterial small subunit ribosomal RNA
Source: RNAcentral